AGAGUUUGAUCCUGGCUCAGAAUCAACGCUGGCGGCGUGCCUAACACAUGCAAGUCGAACGCGAAAGCCCCGCAAGGGGUCAGUAGAGUGGCAAACGGGUGAGUAACACGUGGGUGACCUGCCUUCGAGUGGGGGAUAACGUCCCGAAAGGGACGCUAAUACCGCAUGACAUCCUGCUCUUGGACGAGCGGAGAUCAAAGCCGGGGAUCGCAAGACCUGGCGCUUGAAGAGGGGCCCGCGCCUGAUUAGCUAGUUGGUGGGGUAAUGGCCUACCAAGGCGACGAUCAGUAUCCGGCCUGAGAGGGCGGACGGACACACUGGGACUGAGACACGGCCCAGACUCCUACGGGAGGCAGCAGUGGGGAAUUGUUCGCAAUGGGCGCAAGCCUGACGACGCAACGCCGCGUGGAGGAUGAAGAUCUUCGGGUCGUAAACUCCUGUCGAGCGGGAAGAAACCCACGAGGGUGAAUAAUCCUUGUGGCUGACGGUACCGCUAAAGGAAGCCCCGGCUAACUCCGUGCCAGCAGCCGCGGUAAUACGGGGGGGGCAAGCGUUGUUCGGAAUUACUGGGCGUAAAGGGCUCGUAGGCGGCCAACUAAGUCGGACGUGAAAUCCCCAGGCUCAACCUGGGAACUGCGUCCGAUACUGGAUGGCUUGAAUUCGGGAGAGGGAUGCAGAAUUCCAGGUGUAGCGGUGAAAUGCGUAGAUAUCUGGAGGAAUACCGGUGGCGAAGGCGGCAUCCUGGACCGACAUUGACGCUGAUGAGCGAAAGCCAGGGGAGCAAACGGGAUUAGAUACCCCGGUAGUCCUGGCCCUAAACGAUGAAUGCUUGGUGUGACGGGUAUCGAUCCCUGUCGUGCCGAAGCUAACGCAUUAAGCAUUCCGCCUGGGGAGUACGGUCGCAAGACUGAAACUCAAAUGAAUUGACGG
This 930-nucleotide ribosomal RNA is filed under the name uncultured bacterium. RNAcentral describes it as "bacterial SSU rRNA". It matches the Rfam family "Bacterial small subunit ribosomal RNA", at positions 8 to 916 of the family's 1533-position model. The record is from RNAcentral.